CCUACGGGGGGCAGCAGUGAGGAAUAUUGGUCAAUGGACGAGAGUCUGAACCAGCCAAGUAGCGUGAAGGAUGACUGCCCUAUGGGUUGUAAACUUCUUUUAUAUGGGAAUAAAAUGUUCCACGUGUGGGAUUUUGUAUGUACCAUAUGAAUAAGGAUCGGCUAACUCCGUGCCAGCAGCCGCGGUAAUACGGAGGAUCCGAGCGUUAUCCGGAUUUAUUGGGUUUAAAGGGAGCGUAGGUGGAUUGUUAAGUCAGUUGUGAAAGUUUGCGGCUCAACCGUAAAAUUGCAGUUGAAACUGGCAGUCUUGAGUACAGUAGAAGUGGGCGGAAUUCGUGGUGUAGCGGUGAAAUGCUUAGAUAUCACGAAGAACUCCGAUUGCGAAGGCAGUUCACUGGACUGCAACUGACACUGAGGCUCGAAAGUGUGGGUAUCAAACAGGAUUAGAUACCCGAGUAGUC
RNAcentral lists this ribosomal RNA (460 nucleotides) under uncultured bacterium. RNAcentral describes it as "partial 16S ribosomal RNA". It matches the Rfam family "Bacterial small subunit ribosomal RNA", at positions 338 to 795 of the family's 1533-position model. The record is from RNAcentral.